Molecule: ribosomal RNA, 253 nt
Filed under: uncultured bacterium
Lineage: Bacteria
Description: partial 16S ribosomal RNA
Rfam family: Bacterial small subunit ribosomal RNA
Source: RNAcentral
UACAGAGGGUGCGAGCGUUAAUCGGAAUUACUGGGCGUAAAGCGUGCGUAGACGGUCAAGUAAGUCGGGUGUGAAAGCCCCGGGCUCAACCUGGGAAUUGCAUUCGAGACUGCGUGGCUAGGGUGCGGAAGAGGGAAGCGGAAUUUCCGGUGUAGCGGUGAAAUGCGUAGAUAUCUGGAGGAACACCGGUGGCGAAGGCGGCCUGCUGGGCAGUUGCUGACACUGAGGCGCGACAGCGUGGGGAGCAAACAGG